CAACACGACCGUACCGCAAACCGACACUGGUGCGCGAGAUGAGUAUUCUAAGGCGCUUGAGAGAACUCAGGAGAAGGAACUCGGCAAAUUGACACCGUAACUUCGGAAGAAGGUGUGCCUUUAGUAGGUGAAGUCCCUCGCGGAUGGAGCCCAAUGAGGUUGCAAAAAAUCGGUGGCUGCGACUGUUUAUUAAAAACACAGCACUCUGCAAACACGAAAGUGGACGUAUAGGGUGUGACGCCUGCCCGGUGCUGGAAGAUUAAAUGAUGGGGUGCAAGCUCUUGAUUGAAGUCCCAGUAAACGGCGGCCGUAACAAUAACGGUCCUAAGGUAGCGAAAUUCCUUGUCGGGUAAGUUCCGACCUGCACGAAUGGCGUAACGAUGGCCACACUGUCUCCUCCUGAGACUCAGCGAAGUUGAAAUGUUUGUGAUGAUGCAAUCUCCCCGCGGAAAGACGGAAAGACCCCAUGAACCUUUACUGUAGCUUUGUAUUGGACUUUGAACAGAUCUGUGUAGGAUAGGUGGGAGGCUUUGAAGCAGGGUCGCUAGAUCUUGUGGAGCCAACGUUGAAAUACCACCCUGGUGUGUUUGAGGUUCUAACCUAGGCCCGUAAUCCGGGUUGGGGACAGUGCAUGGUAGGCAGUUUGACUGGGGCGGUCUCCUCCCAAAGUGUAACGGAGGAGUUCGAAGGUACGCUAGUUACGGUCGGACAUCGUGACGAUAGUGCAAUGCAUAAGCGUGCUUAACUGCGAGACUGAUAAGUCGAGCAGAUGCGAAAGCAGGACAUAGUGAUCCGGUGGUUCUGUAUGGAAGGGCCAUCGCUUAACGGAUAAAAGGUACUCUGGGGAUAACAGGCUGAUACCGCCCAAGAGUUCAUAUCGACGGCGGUGUUUGGCACCUCGAUGUCGGCUCAUCUCAUCCUGGGGCUGUAGCCGGUCCCAAGGGUAUGGCUGUUCGCCAUUUAAAGAGGUACGUGAGCUGGGUUUAAAACGUCGUGAGACAGUUUGGUCCCUAUCUUCCGUGGGCGCUGCAGAUUUGAGGAAGCCUGCUCCUAGUACGAGAGGACCGGAGUGGACGCACCUCUGGUGUAUCGGUUGUCACGCCAGUGGCAUUGCCGAGUAGCUAUGUGCGGAAGAGAUAACCGCUGAAAGCAUCUAAGCGAGAAACUCGUUUCAAGAUGAGAUCUGCCGGGGCCUUGAGCCCCCUGAAGAGUCGUUCAAGACCAGGACGUUGAUAGGUCGGGUGUGGAAGCGCAGUAAUGCGUUAAGCUAACCGAUACUAAUUGCUCGUGCGGCUUGACCAA
This 1302-nucleotide ribosomal RNA is filed under the name metagenome. Its description in RNAcentral is "bacterial LSU rRNA". It matches the Rfam family "Bacterial large subunit ribosomal RNA", at positions 1634 to 2925 of the family's 2925-position model. The record is from RNAcentral.